Molecule: non-coding RNA, 84 nt
Organism: Marasmius fiardii PR-910
Lineage: Eukaryota; Fungi; Basidiomycota; Agaricomycetes; Agaricales; Marasmiaceae
Source: the annotation of a GenBank genome assembly
GGUUCGAUGGCGUAGUUGGUUAUCGUAUCUGUCUAACAAUUUGAGUUGCACAGAAGGUCCCCAGUUCGAGCCUGGGUCGAAUCA